Molecule: long non-coding RNA, 1504 nt
Filed under: Neogobius melanostomus (round goby)
Lineage: Eukaryota; Metazoa; Chordata; Actinopteri; Gobiiformes; Gobiidae
Description: lncRNA (ENSNMLG00000015114.1)
Source: RNAcentral
AACAGGACACGCUCAGCACGGGACAGAGAGAAGCCGGCCGGCAGAGCAACACCACUAACAGGAGUAAAGUGUUUCAACUGGAUAAGACAAGCUGGAAAAAAGGACACCAUACCAUUUUCUAAGCACCUCACAUGCAAAGUAACUCCUGGAUUUGAACAGCCUCACACCUCCACAUGCAGCUCAUGCACCAGUGUCCCGACUCCUCUCUGUGAGACAAGGGGCUGUGCUGUACCUCUGUAUUUCACGCUGACCUCUCCUGUCCCAGACAAACUGUCCCAGCGUGCCUUGACUGUGAUCGGCCGAGCCAUUACUGUUUCUCCUCUCCCCUGGCCGCUGCAGGCCCCUGGACCCCCACUCAGCCUUGUGCCUCCAUGCGGGGCGGGAUGAGGCGGUGGGGGCCCUGUCUGCGGGCCCCCUCCCUCUUCUGCUCAGUGAGUCCGGGAACCUCCGGACGUAGAGCACUGGUCUCAGACGUGUCUACUCUCACAGAUCUUUGUUCAGACCUGCCAGAGUUGGAGAUCGUGAGCCUGUUGUCAGAGGGUCAGCCCAACUACACGCUCCGAGCACACAGUGUGUUUGGAUAUGACAAUGAUGACUGGGUGCACACCCCUCUGGUGCCCCAGAGGUCGUCCUGGGACUCACCUGUGAGCAGAUUGAAGAGACCUUCAAGUAUUUCCUCCAACGUGGCCAGGUGAACGGAGGCAGGCAUGACGACAGAUGGGUCUCACAGUGAGAGAGGGAUUACAUAUUACUGCACAGUGCACACAGACGCAUCACAACACAAGACAGGCGGACAGUGUUGUGCCCACAUGUCCGUAGAUCCAUAUGCAAAAACAACGCUUCAUCAAACGUGACAUUUUACCUCUAAGAUAGUGCACAGGAAGGACAUAGUUGACGUUUUUGCGGACAUCAUGGAAGUGUGGAGCUCCUCGGAGGACGAUGAGGAAAAAGCUGCAGCUCUGUCCACUCGUUUUGCUGAGGAUGUUUUGGAGUCAGAGGAAAUAAAAUGCCUGAAUAGUAAUAACAAUAACAAUAACAACAACAACAUCAAGGGAGCCUUUGCCAAGAGGUGACACAAGGUAAGAUGCGAGAAUGAGGAGAGGGGUGAAGGUUAGUGGCAGGAUGUGUCAAAUUACAAUCUUUGAGCUACAUAUUUAAAUAAUUUAAUUACGGCUGUAGGAAACAUUACCUUGUGCAUUUUCAAUUGGUAAACUCAAGUUGGUUUAAGAACUUAAUGUAUGGUCCUAAACUGUGUGCCCUUAAUUCUGUAGAGCUGCAGUAAGCAAUGUCAUUGUAGAGGCGUAAUUCAGACUGCUGUCAAAAUUCUGUAGCCCAUCCCGCUGCAGCAUAUGUAUUUUGUAAAUAUUGUGUCAGCUUCAGUGGUGAAGGUCACUUUGCGAAUAACACCCCAUAGAGAAACAUGGUCUUACAUUUGCAAAAAGUGAGACCUAUCACUGAGUGGCAGUGGCAGUAAACUGUUCUUCUGGCCCAUUUCAGAGUAUUG